RNAcentral lists this ribosomal RNA (509 nucleotides) under uncultured archaeon. RNAcentral's name for it is "bacterial SSU rRNA". It matches the Rfam family "Archaeal small subunit ribosomal RNA", at positions 323 to 838 of the family's 1478-position model. The record is from RNAcentral.
UUACGGGGUGCAGGCGCGAAAACUCUACAAUGCAGGCAACUGCGAUAGGGGAACAUCGAGUGAUCCUCAUAUUGGGGGUCUGUCCACCCGCCUAAAAAGCGGGUGUUAGCAAGGGCCGGGCAAGACCGGUGCCAGCCGCCGCGGUAAUACCGGCGGCUCGAGUGGUGGCCGAUAUUAUUGAGUCUAAAGGGUCCGUAGCCGGCUUUGCAAGUCUCUCGGGAAAUCCAGCGGCUUAACCGUUGGUCGUCCGGGGGGUACUACAUUGCUUGGGACUGGGAGAGGUAGGAGGUACUCCGGGGGUAGGAGUGAAAUCCUGUAAUCCUUUGGGGACCACCGGUGGCGAAGGCGUCCUACCAGAACAGGUCCGACGGUGAGGGACGAAAGCUAGGGGCACGAACCGGAUUAGAUACCCGGGUAGUCCUAGCCGUAAACGAUGCUCGCUAGACUCACACCGGUGCUGAACGUGUUGUGGGCGCAGGAAGCCGUGAAGCGAGCCACCUGGGAAGUAC